Long non-coding RNA from Lolium perenne, 2542 nucleotides. RefSeq lists it as uncharacterized. Lineage: Eukaryota; Viridiplantae; Streptophyta; Magnoliopsida; Poales; Poaceae. The record is from RefSeq and is a predicted model, not a curated record.
GCCUCGCGCCCCCGUCCCUGCCCGGUUCUCGUCACCGGCCGCCGCCUCGAGCCGCGGCACGAGCGCGUGGGAGAGGUGCCGGCGGUUGAGCGCAACGCCGCAGGAGAGGCGCGCCGGUGGAGCGGCGACGUCCAGAGAGCGGAGCACCCAACGAUUGUGGUCAGCGGCGAGGCGCCCUUGUGAUAUACGGCCACGGCGGCAUCCGCUGCUCAGCGGUUGGCCUGGAGACGGAGGCCGCCACCUAAGAGAUGGAAACGAGGACGACCUGCUGAGGAAGAGCAUGACCAGACGGCGGCCCGGAGACAGACAACGACGCUGAGCCGUGAAGAGCCGCCCCUGGGACAUCCCUUUUGGGCGCAUCCGGGAAGGAGUGCUCGACUCCGUUUUGGCCGGCCGGACGACGACCAGCAGCCCAAGAUGUUGGCCAACAGCACAGCGGCCAGCUCUCUUCUGCCUAUUCUUUUUGCAAAGAUCUACAGUUUUUUCAUGAAGGUGGAUUUGGACCUUGGGAACUAAAUGAUGAAGCAAUUUAUCCAAUGCUGCAACACUCAGAUUUCUAAAUAUCAUGUAGAGAUGUUGUUGUGCCGGUGGAUUGCUCUCGGUGGCGAUGCAUGUUGUUCGAUAUUCAAGUUUUGCUCUCAAUCCCCUGCCAUCCCUUCCCUGCCUUUUUUUUCACAUUACAAGAUUGAUUCAGUUCUUCCAUAUUCAAACACUGUACCUGAAUAUUUAUGGGUUGUGUUUCGGGCCUAGAUUCGUUGCGGAAGAGCUACUUUUACACAUACUGAUAAUGGUGCUGCUACGAUGAGGAUCUGAGCUCUCUCGGCAACAAUGCUUGCCGUCACGCUCAUCAACCAAGCGGCGAGGUGAAGCUACCGCUGCUAAAAAUAGUGUUGGAACCUUGAGGCAGUGGACAGUCCAGGGAAUUAGCAUAUAAAAUGCAGUAUGUAGCUGGCCUUGAUGUUUCAUGCUAGAGGGACAUGUAAUUGUUUAGCAACUAAGAAGCUUCAACCAUGUUUACGUGACACAGUCUGCUAAGAUCAUCUGUGAGGAGUAUCCUGCAUCAAAGUAUCAGACAUGGAAAUGCCUGCCUAUUCUAUACGCAAGAAAAUUGAUGUAUUUCUCGGAAUAUGGAUAAUUACACUUGAAGAAGCAAGGCAUGAAAAAGAGUAAUGAAUAUUCUUCGAAGCAUAUCUAUAAUUAGUACCAUGCAUGUGAUGAUGUGCUACAGAGAUUUUUUUUUUUUGGUGUGAAGAAUACUUCUUUUAGUAUUUCUCAUUUUAAAAAAUCACCUUUACUAAGCACUGCAUAUAGUUUGUUGCCAUCUGUAAUUUUUAUGGCGAUCUGGCAAUGAUAGUACAAAUAUAUUCACGAGAGAUAUUGUUUCUUUUAUUUCUUUGUGGAGCCUUGCAGUGAUAUUUAUCUAUUUGUGAUAAAAUACUAACUCUGCACACUAAAUCCUGAAUUGAGUUUGUCUUAACAAAGUGUAUGUGGUUUUGACAAAAAAAGGUAAGAGUUUGUUUUAACACAGUGUAUGUGGGUUUGACAAAAAAAAGUCAGUUUAUCAGAUUGAGAAGGAGAUGGACGAGGAAUUUGGCUUGGGACUGCUAGCUCCUCCAUAGUUCAGAUUAUGUCUUACCACGUUGACAGAGUGUAGUCUCCAUUGUGAGAGCUGACACACUGUUCCUUCCAUUUUUAAAAAUAAAUUCUACUCGGCAGGAAAAUAAAUAACCUCUAUUACUUUUUGUCAAGGCACGCAAUUGAUCCUUGGAAGACUUCCACCUAUUCAUGCACGGGCCCUUUAUUUUCUAUGACUCUGCCAAUCAAUACCCACCUGAUUUUAAUGAGCUGAUGUUCUUACAACAUUUCGAAGAAUAUGGCCAUCAAACUACCUUAUUUUUUCUAACCAUACUGCUCACUGCCUUCUGGUUCUAGGAUUUAAGUUUGAUAUAAACAAUUCCCGAAUCACUGCCGGAUCGCUCGAAUUGAAUUCAGCCCACACCAGUUUAGCAAAAUGAUACCUUAAGGGCAUGGAAAGGCAAGCUAAGGCUGUUGCCAAUAGAGCAAAGUGGAAGAUUGAGAUGUAUAUACUGACCCAACUGGUGAAAAUAAGGAAGUAUCCGCACCGGUGAAACGGAAGCUUUGUUUCAGAACUACUGUCCUGACUACUGUCAUCACCCAUCCAUCCUAACGCAUGGAAAAAAAAGAAAUCCACCAAGAAAUUAUUCCCACCUAAGUAAAAAAGCUCCACCUUGGCAAGUAAGCAUCUAAAAUAAAUGCAUGCAUUCACACAUCAGGCAGACUCAACUGGUGAAAAUAAGGAAGUAUCCGCACCGGUGAAACGGAAGCUUUGUUUCAGAACAACCGUCCUGAUUACUGUUACCAGAAAUAUCACCUGUAGUAUUAUUUGCUUCUAGAACUACUAAUCAUGUAUACUCUCGGCAUUAUGUAAUAUUAAGUGCCUAAAUAACUUUGUAUAAUUAUCUCAAGUAUCUUCUGUUUAUCACUGACUAUUGUUGUGGUGUCUAUAUAUAAUCAUGUCAAC